Molecule: ribosomal RNA, 439 nt
Filed under: uncultured bacterium
Lineage: Bacteria
Description: bacterial SSU rRNA
Rfam family: Bacterial small subunit ribosomal RNA
Source: RNAcentral
GAUGAACGCUGGCGGCAUGCCUAAGACAUGCAAGUCGAACGAAGUGGCCCAACAAUAACUGAGUGCUUGCACAAAGUUUGCGAUGGAAUUUCCACUUAGUGGCAGACGGGUGAGUAACACGUAAGUAAUCUACCUCAAAGACUGGAAUAAUGUUUGGAAACGAACACUAAUACCGGAUAAUUCAUAUUUAGAUAACUAUAUAUGCUAAAGGAGCGUUGCUUCACUUGAGAUGAGCUUGCGGCGUAUUAACUAGUUGGUGGGUAAUGGCUACCAAGGUGACGAUGCGUAGCCGAACUGAGAGGGUGACCGGCCACAAUUGGGACUGAGACACGGCCCAAACUCCUACGGGAGGCAGCAGUGGGGAAUAUUGCGACAAUGGGGGAAACCCUGAUGCAGCGACGCCGCGUCGAGUGAAGAAGUAUUCGGUAUGUAAAGCUCU